UUAACUAUGUUUACUUAUCUAAUCACAUUUCUAGGCUAAUCAGUCUCAGACGGAUUAUCGUAUUGAUGGUUUACACACCAUACGCAAUUUAAUGUUGGUAAAACUACAUAACUUAGAAAACUUGAUGCAUAAGCCUACACAACCUACUUCAGCAAGAGCUUUGUUGCCAAUGAGUACAACAUAUCCACCGGAAGAUGACAUAUCAAACAUUGUUCUUUACAUUUCAUCUGAUGAUGAUAACAACAUAUUACCUAAAGGAACUUCUGUUCAGAAAGGGUCAUCAAGCAAAAAAAAAAAAAAACAACUUCCACUUAUAAGAAGCUCAAUGUGAAGUCUGUCACUUCAGACUCAACCUACACAGAGUCAUCAAUCCGUUUUGGAUCUUCAUCAAAGGUAUAUAAUAAUGUAAAAAACUAUCAAGAUUUACGUGUAAGCUUAAAGAAAUGAUACUGAUUAACCAUUUAUUUUCUUAAAUGGUAGAUGACACAUUUGUUUCCAACUGCUACUGACAAUGAAUGCAUGGUGGGGAGGAGGAGGCUAUCUUUUGUGCCCUCACCAAGUUCUAGGGCAUAGCAAAUUCCUAAGAAAGAACCCUUGGAUGUUAAGACUGAAGUGAAGAAUGUUCCAAUGCAUACUAUUAAACACACCUUGUCUAAGGUGAAUGAAUACAACUAUUAAGUCUUUUUUUAUAUUUUUAAUACCAAUGUCUAAUACUAGACAUAUAUUUAUAGUUUAUCAAGACCAACUUUACUAUCACACCAGCCAUGAGUCUAACAGAAGAGGAAGCUCAACUUUCUGCAUAUGUUUUUCACCCUUUUAAUGACCUGGGGUAAUUGUUACACAUCAUAAAACUUUAUAUCAUUUAGUUCUGUAUGAUAAACAAAUUGUGAUAUUUUACCUCAUUCAUGUAGUGAGAUACUAUUCAAGCUUGAUGGAUUUGAAGGAAUUCGUAAAGAUUUCAUGACCUUGUGUCCUGCAAAAAUAGUUGAAACAGAGGUAAUAUAUUACACUUUGCUUUCCAAUUGAUAUAACUAACUAGUCUUUGUGUAUAUUGAAAGAGAAAUUUAUAUCAUGUUGGCAGAUUGCACACAUGAUGGCAUUAAAGGUUAAUUGGACUCAAAAGCAAAUGUUAACCCCUACAAAGUGGACACUGCCCCCUGCAUUUGUGGUACAAUUUUUU
Molecule: long non-coding RNA, 1180 nt
Filed under: Trifolium pratense (red clover)
Lineage: Eukaryota; Viridiplantae; Streptophyta; Magnoliopsida; Fabales; Fabaceae
Description: long non-coding RNA (TPRA_LNC013365)
Source: RNAcentral